AGGGCUAGGAUCUUAUGGGGAGGUAUACCGGGGAGAAUGGCAUGGAACGGAAAUUGCUGUAAAGAAAUUUUUACACCAAGAUAUCACUACUGAUGCCUUGGAAGAGUUCAUAUCUGAGGUCCGUAUAAUGAAAAGAGUACGACAUCCAAAUGUUGUUCUCCUUAUGGGGGCAGUAACUCGUGUGCCUAAUCUCUCCAUUGUCACUG
Molecule: unclassified non-coding RNA, 206 nt
Filed under: Hevea brasiliensis (rubber tree)
Lineage: Eukaryota; Viridiplantae; Streptophyta; Magnoliopsida; Malpighiales; Euphorbiaceae
Source: RNAcentral